AGGAUGAACGCUGGCGGCGUGCUUAACACAUGCAAGUCGAACGAUGAAGCAGAGCUUGCUCUGUGGAUUAGCGGCGAACGGGUGAGUAACACGUGAGUAACCUGCCCUUGACUCUGGAAUAAGCGUUGGAAACGACGUCUAAUACCGGAUACGAGCUUCCGCCGCAUGGUGAGGAGCUGGAAAGAAUUUCGGUCAAGGAUGGACUCGCGGCCUAUCAGGUAGUUGGUGAGGUAAUGGCUCACCAAGCCUACGACGGGUAGCCGGCCUGAGAGGGUGACCGGCCACACUGGAACUGAGACACGGUCCAGACUCCUACGGGAGCAGCGGUGGGAAUAUUGCACAAUGGCGCAAGCCUGAUGCAGCAACGCCGCGUG
Molecule: ribosomal RNA, 374 nt
Filed under: uncultured soil bacterium
Lineage: Bacteria
Description: bacterial SSU rRNA
Rfam family: Bacterial small subunit ribosomal RNA
Source: RNAcentral